Molecule: ribosomal RNA, 253 nt
Filed under: uncultured bacterium
Lineage: Bacteria
Description: partial 16S ribosomal RNA
Rfam family: Bacterial small subunit ribosomal RNA
Source: RNAcentral
UACGUAGGGGGCGAGCGUUGUCCGGAUUUACUGGGCGUAAAGGGCGCGUAGGCGGCCUUCUAAGUCGAACGUGAAAUCCCCGGGCUCAACCCGGGAACUGCGUCCGAUACUGGGAGGCUUGAAUCCGGGAGAGGGAUGUGGAAUUCCAGGUGUAGCGGUGAAAUGCGUAGAUAUCUGGAGGAACACCGGUGGCGAAGGCGGCAUCCUGGACCGGUAUUGACGCUGAGGCGCGAAAGCCAGGGGAGCAAACGGG